Molecule: non-coding RNA, 100 nt
Organism: Xylariomycetidae sp. FL2044
Lineage: Eukaryota; Fungi; Ascomycota; Sordariomycetes
Source: the annotation of a GenBank genome assembly
GACCUGGUAGCUUAAUGGUAAAAAGCACAGGAUCAGGUGGGAGCCUUGUACGGCUGGGCUCACGCUUGAUUCGAUCUGGGUUCGAGUCCCAGCUAGGUCA